Molecule: ribosomal RNA, 407 nt
Filed under: uncultured bacterium
Lineage: Bacteria
Description: bacterial SSU rRNA
Rfam family: Bacterial small subunit ribosomal RNA
Source: RNAcentral
GGACCCGCACAAGUAGUGGAGCAUGUGGUUUAAUUCGAAGAUACGCGCAGAACCUUACCAACACUUGACAUGUUCGUCGCGACUUUAAGAGAUUAAAGUUUUCGGUUCGGCCGGACGAAACACAGGUGCUGCAUGGCUGUCGUCAGCUCGUGUCGUGAGAUGUUGGGUUAAGUCCCGCAACGAGCGCAACCCUCACUUUUAGUUGCCAUCAUUUAGUUGGGCACUCUGAAAGAACUGCCAGUGAUAAGCUGGAGGAAGGUGGGGAUGACGUCAAGUCCUCAUGGCCCUUACGUGUUGGGCUACACACGUGCUACAAUGCCCGGUACAACAGGAAGCAAUACCGCAAGGUGGAGCAAAUCCUUAAAGCCGGGCCCAGUUCGGAUUGGGGUCUGCAACUCGACCCCAUG